UGAGGUCAUGAGUGACUUCUCUAUCAGGGA
RNAcentral lists this non-coding RNA (30 nucleotides) under Rattus norvegicus (Norway rat). The record is from RNAcentral. Lineage: Eukaryota; Metazoa; Chordata; Mammalia; Rodentia; Muridae.